Ixodes scapularis (black-legged tick) is the source of this 4582-nucleotide RNA transcript. RefSeq lists it as uncharacterized. NCBI's taxonomy places the organism in Eukaryota, Metazoa, Arthropoda, Arachnida, Ixodida, Ixodidae. The transcript has 4 exons. The record is from RefSeq and is a predicted model, not a curated record.
GCGGGUCGACGGAGCGAGCCGAUGUUUACGUGAAGAUCAAGUUCUCAUACUCCGGGGUUACCAGAGACGUCGACCGCGCUCGUCCGAGGUUCGCAGCAGUCCCCCCCCCCCACAAGAGAUUGAUGCCGUACGUGCAGUUCGGCAGGAACACAUCUCGUGCCCAUAAUUACGGUCAUAGUAGCACCAGUAGACCACACCACACAUAUCGCUUUGAAGUAAAACCGGUAAAACCGUUAAACCGGCCGGCCAAGACAAUCCAUCUUUUCAAAGGCGUCGCAGACUCGCAGUUUCAUCUGGACGUGUCGUUUGGACGUGUUGACGGAUUUAAAGGAAAGGCUACAAGCGCGAGCUCCUUGCUCAAUGGCACACCUCGGCGGCACAAGCUCUCGUGCACCAAGGGCAGCUGCCAACGCUAUGAGCUCACACUUCUAGCCUUCGCUGCGGUACAACAUGAGGUGAAACGGGGUAUAGUGCCUUCACUCGAACUCUUUGUUCUUCAAAACAUUCCCACAGGUAGUCUUGGGUGUAGCCUUUUCGUUGUGCCCACCUGUGCUGCCUGUUGAUCUCUUGUCUUCCCAAUUGCCUCCUUUACCUCCUGUCGAACCAGGGCCUUCGGUUUUAUUGUUUCCCUUUCCUGGUUUUUUCCACUUGUUCUUUGGCUGUUUGGGUAAUUAGGCUCAUUAGUUCUUCAUAUGUGUUGUCUUUUGUAAUUUUUUUCUCCAAUUUUGAUGCAAAUUUUUCUAUUUUAUGUUCUGCUUCUAGCUUCCAGUUGUUUUCCUGGAUGUUUUUAUUUUUUUCUGUCUUUGGUUGUUGGUGUUUAGUUUUAGCAGUAUUCUGUUAUAAUUGCUUGCACAGCUGCUUACCUUGCUCUCCUCUAUGUGUAUAGCAUCUAGAUGUUUUCUUUGCCUGCCUCGUCGUUUAUGAGUUCAGCGUUCCUUAAACUGCAGUUAACGCGUGAACAACAUAGUCUGGGCCCGUUUGCUCAAAGCGCUAACAGCGGCUAAAGUUUGCCGCAGUACCUAGGAGAGGGAUUAUUAUAUCACGUGACUGGCUCGGUAAAGAUGCGGGGAAACAUGGCGGUGCCCCGGUGAGUGAGUGCCGCUCGCUUUGGAACUAAUGUGUCGUUGUAGCUUUAAUAUCGGGCGCGUUAGUCAGCAACAAAUGGUGCGGGAGGCUUUCACUUUGCCUUACCUUACUUAAAUCGCAAAGCAUGAGCAAUGACCUCGCCGCAUUUUCUUAUAGUCUUUUGAUUCUGGCCAUUACUAAGCCUAAAUGAACGCAAUAAUUGUCGGCAUGGCAACGUCUUUGGAGAGCGGAUUGCCUUGACUGAAUCGGCCGGGUAUUGAUAGCACACAAAAGCAGACAGCGUCCCAUUAGACCUUUUUCUAAACUACCCAAGCAUCGAGAACAACGCUGGAAGUGUAAUUCUACGGUCCGCGCGCGCUGGCCUUUCUCUUAUAAAAGAUUCAAAGUAAAUAAACAUAAUAAGGCUUUGACGAACGUGCGUGCAAGGCAAAAUUUGUUUUAGACUUUUUGCUUUUGAACAAUUACUACUGCAGACGCCAGCACGUGCAAUGCCUGUAACUGCACUCGGUGCUUGGGAAAUUUAGAAAAAGGUCUAUUGGGACGCUGUACAAGCUUGCUCAGCGUCUUUGCGGAGCAGAGCCGCUGAGCUGCUUCGCCUAACUACACUUAGCCGCCUAACUCCACAAACAAUUUUGUUCUUAAUGUCCCUCAAGUCGGGUAAGCAAAUGGCAAAAUUAAAAGUGUCCUAAUGUCACUCUUAUUUAUUUUGCUUGGGGUACAUGUGAACGAAUAAAAAAAAAUACACCCGUUAUGUGGCACACUUACCUUUGGUAAUGGAGCAUUUCGCAUCAUUGGUGAUUUCCUUCUCUUGCGAUUAGAACGUGCAAACACUGUUGAAAUGGCAGUCUUCUGCUUCAGCUUCAUCCAGCCAUCUGCGCGAUUUUGCUCAAACUGGGAUUCUUGAAAGUGCCUAGAAAAAUAUAAUUUAUUUUACCUUAUAAUGCCCUAUAAUUAAUGUUUACAUGCUUAGUUGCUUUAUGUACAUUAAAUCCAGGACACUUAUAACUUUCAAUUUACUUAGCAGUCACUAGUUUAAACAGGGCUGUCAUAACCAGGGCCCCUUAGAUGUUGCAGAUAGUGAACAUGAGAAAUGCACAUAAUUAAAAUUAACUUUGCCGUUUUGUUUCAUUUAAAUUUCAUGUGCUCGUAUAUCUUUAUGCAACAAACAAAGAUCCUAGCUUUAGUGAUCGCACCAUGCUUAUCUUGAUUGCAACGAACUAAUUAUGUCUCACUUUUCUUGAGUUGAGCCAAAGUUUGAACUGCAUAUAUGACCAGAUCAAUGCUAUUGACAGUAAUUUAUAAAUUCAUACCGUCUGUGAUCGUAGCUGUAGAUGCGAUCACGCAAGGCACAAGUGAUCAUUUCCAUAGUGGAAAGUUUUUGGAAUAAAUGAAAAGAUUCUUACCUCAGAAAGUCGGGAACCAGCUGUUGGCGUCCACGUGUCGCGCUUUAUUUUUAUUAGCCAGAGUUUCCCUCAUUUUUUUCUUUCGGAAUAAUAAACAACUGAAAGCCGUCAUGGCUGCUGUUAGAGCACCCGAUGGCGCAGCAACAAAUCAUUUUUGUCUUUGAAAAUAAAAGCUCAGAAAAUCAAGGAGCUGGUAAACCUCCAGAGUAGCCUAUGCACGCGUACGGGGAAUAAGAACAAAAAUGGUGGUCAGGAGCGUGUCAUGUGCAGCGGGUUCAUCGUUGCCACGUGGUUGCUAGGGCCAACGUCAAUGCCGUUGGGAGGAGUCAAGGGUCCGCAUGGGUUCACCGAGGACAAUGGAUGGCCAAACUCUCCCCUAUCUAUGGCUCUGACCCUUGGCAGGUGGAGGCACCAUCUGUGAGAUGCUGUCACAAACAGCGGCAUUCUGUCUGCUGCUUCUCAGGGACGGCGUCUUAUAGUCAAAAACAGUUUUCCACCUCUAACUUUUUAUUCUGGUAAUGAUAUGCGUUAAAACUUGAGCAUCUCGCUUGAAUGGCUGCGGCUAUGUUCUAACGGAGUUUGAGCUUUCUCCAAAGUCUAGUUUAUUUUUGCGGUACAAAAACCAGGGUUCGAUUUUUUUCAUAGACGUUCUGUACAAUAAGCUAUUGCACCCUCCUCCUUGCUAAAAGUUCUAGUUAAGGUUGUUUUACUUAUUAUAUGGUGUGUCUCUCUUCAUGACAUAAACUAAAGUGAAGUCUGAAUUUUGUAAUAGGUGCCACCCUGACCAGGCUGAAGCUGACAUGAUUAGCAAGCAUCGUAGCGUGAGUUGAGUGAAAUGACAGCAUAUAUUGACUACUGUGUGGAUGUCCGUGCUUCGUGGCAGUCAUACGAUAACAGUUGUCUUGACGUCACUUGUGUUGAUGGAAGGUUGCCCUAUUAUGUCAUUACGAACUAUUAUUUAUUUUUAUUCAUUUGGGGAGCUCGUGGGCCAUUACAGGGAGUAACUUUGUACAGCAUCCUUGUCUAAGGGCUAUACCAUAUUAAUUUGCUGUUGUGUUUCCUGUUGGAGGAUAAUGACUUAUUUGCAUUGCAUUCCAAAUCUCACUUUUUAAUUACUUCAAUAUUACUUAGUAGCUGGCAUUUGAUGUCAGCUUCUGCCACAUCAACCCAUGACCUUUGAUUGUGUGCCAAACACACCACUAAAUAAAAAUGGCUUCAUUAUUACGUUUCGUUCCUCCAUUGCAUAGGAUAUGGGAAUCCCAGCAAUUACAUUUUCCAACUGUAUUUUGUAAUACUCACAAUUUCAAAUUAUGUUAACAAUUUUAUAAACCUCCGAGUCACUCGUUAACUGAUCAAUUAUUUAAAUAAAUGUCAACUGUUAACCGGUUGCAAGUUUGUAAUUAAUGCACAGCCCCACACUGCAUUACUGUUUGUGUAUAAUAUAAGGAAAUGUUGAGUAAACAUACAGGUUAUUUAAAUAACUUUUAUGUCUGACCCAUUAUAUUCAGUGUUUUCUAGAUAAGUUUGAAGUUAUAUAAGAGAGUGCUCAUCUUAAAAUUAGGCCAUACCACUGGAUGUACACUAGUGUGUGACCUAUACAUAUGUUCCCAGCGAAAUGAAAGAAGUCAUUUAAGAAGGACUAACCACUUGCUUUGCUGUUUGUCUUGUCUUCUUUUAGGUUUAGUUUUAGGACUGGUUUUCCUGACUCAGCUGGCUUGUCUGGCAGCUUGCAACCUAUGGGAACCUGAGGAACUGCAUCACAAGAGUGAAAGGGACGCCCACCUAGCACUUCUUCGAGGAUGGUGCCUUGAAGAAGGGAGGACUGCGCCUAAAGUGAAUGCCAUGGCAGGCAAUGUGCUGAGGCUUGGGCCAUGUGGAACUGGAGGCAGCCAAGUCAUCAAAGAAGAUAGGACUUCGGCUCAUUCAGAAACCAUGUGAACUACGGCACAAGAGGCCCAGGGCACCGGAACAGCUGGCUGAAUAAACAGCUAAGCCUUUCAAACAUUGAAGUGUGUGCUAUCCCAAGGGGAGUAGUUUGAAGGGGAUUAGAGUUUUAGACCUCAAGGCAAAUAAAUGUAUUUUUUCCUUCCAAA